RNAcentral lists this unclassified non-coding RNA (2704 nucleotides) under Hevea brasiliensis (rubber tree). Lineage: Eukaryota; Viridiplantae; Streptophyta; Magnoliopsida; Malpighiales; Euphorbiaceae. The record is from RNAcentral.
UUUUUUUUUUUUAAAUGUUUGUGUCUUUUUAAUCGUGGGAUUAUCUGCUUAAUGCUACACAUUCUUUGGAAUGAUCAUUUCAAUUCAGUUAUGUUGAAUAUAAAACUCAAGAAUCCUGAAAAUCAGUGUGGUGGUUGUUUCUCGUACAUAGUUUUUGAGCAUUUAUGUAUUGUUGUGGACGAGUUAUUCGAUUUCUCAGUACUGCCACAAGAAGUAAGAAGACUAACUGGGAUCCUACUGUUUAACUUGAACUUAAUCACCCAUCUCUUCUUUUGCUUGAGAAAAGCAAUACCAGGGAUCAUUUCAAACAGAUUUUGGGGCAGAUGAUGAGAAGCAAUCUGAUUGGUCAAACAUUUCCCAUGAGUAGACUCAUUUUUUUCUCAGCAAUUUCACACCCUGAGAAUUUAGAUAUUGCCUUACUUCUUUUUAAUCACUUUACUCCUAAUCCCAACCUGUAUAUUUACAACACCAUGAUUUCUGCACUAACUUUGGCAACUAGUCAAUCUUUUGUUGUCUAUAAUUCUAUGCUGAGCUCUGGCAUUGAGCCAGAUAAACACACACUCCUUAAUCUACUCCUUGCAGCUAAACAUGUAUUGGAAGUGAAGCAAAUUCAUUGCCAUGCCAUUGUUCUGGGUUUGUCAACCUAUAGAUAUAUGCAAAAUUCUCUCAUUAUGAUGUACUUAGAAAAUGGACUAUUUUGGCUUGCACAUCAGCUAUUUGAACAGAUGCUAGCUCCUGAUGUUGUCUCGUUCAACAUUAUGAUAGCUGUUUAUGCCAAGAAAGGAUAUAGUUUAGAAGCUGUACAACUGCUUCAUGAAAUGAUCGCUUUAGGCCUUAAACCUGAUGAGUUUACCAUGUUAGGCCUUCUUGUUUCUUGUGGGCAAUUGAAAGAGGCACAAUUUGGGAAGGCUGUUCAUGCAUGGAUAGAAAGAAGGAAGUCCAUGACUUCAUCAAAUCUGAUAUUGGGUAAUGCUCUUUUGGAUAUGUAUGUAAAGUGCCAAGAGUUGGAUCUUGCCCAGAGGACAUUUUCUGCAUUGACAGAAAAGGAUAUUGUUUCAUGGAACACCAUAAUUGCAGGAUUUGCCAAGGCAGGUAACUUGGAGCUUGCACGGACAUUUUUUUAUCAAAUGCCUAUUAGGGAUCUUGUGUCUUGGAAUUCUUUAAUUGCUGGUUAUGCCUGUCGAGGUGAUUUUACAAUGAUAAGAAACUUAUUCAAUGAUAUGGUGGUGGAAAAUGUUACACCUGACAAUGUUACAAUGGCUAGCUUGAUCUCAGCUGCUGCAGAAAUUGGAGCUCUGGAUCAUGGUAGGUGGGCACACGGCUGGAUAAUUAGAAUGCACAUUAAAAUAGAUCCUCUUUUGGGUUCAGCAUUGGUUGACAUGUAUUGCAAGUGUGGAAGUGUUGAAAAGGCUUUCUUGGUUUUCAGAGAAAUUAUUGAAAAGGAUGUCAUAGUAUGGACAACAAUGAUUACUGGAUUUGCUUUUCAUGGCUAUGGAAGCAAAGCAUUGGAACUGUUUUCAGAGAUGCAAGAAUAUGCAAGUCCAAAUGAGGUUACUUUUGUUUCUGUUCUUGCAGCUUGUAGUCAUAGUGGACUUGUAGAACAAGGGUUUAAAACCUUCAAUUGUAUGAAAGAAUAUGGAAUGGAACCAAGAAUUGAGCACUAUGGAUGUUUGGUGGAUCUUUUAGGGCGAUCAGGUAGGUUGGCCGAGGCAAAAGAUGUCAUUGAAAGGAUGCCCAUGAAACCAAGUCGAUCUAUCUGGGGGUCAAUACUAAAUGCUUGUCGAGCUCAUGGAGACAUGGAAAUGGGGGAGAGAGCUUUGGCGGAGCUGCUAAAGUUAGAACCUGAGGAAGAGGGCGGAUACAUGCUGUUGUCUAACAUAUAUGCUGCUAAUGGAAGGUGGAGUUAUUCUGACAAGAUUAGAGAGAGCAUGGAAAGCAGAGGAGUGAAGAAGACAGCUGGUUGCAGUAGUCUAGUUAUUGAUGGAGUUAUUCACAAUUUUCUGGCUGCAGAUAAGUGGCACCCUAGAUGGACAGAGGUAAAGCUCAUUUUGAACUGUUUGUCAAGUGAACUGAAGUUAGGGGCUGAUGUUCCUGGGGAAUCUAUGCAUCCAUUACAGGACACAUGUUGACAGAGCUUUUUUCUUUCAGCCUCUUCAACAACAUAGAUGCUGAACAUUUUAUAGAUACUGUCUGCGUACUGAGGCAUUGUCCCAUUCUCAUGUGUUGUUUCAGCUGAAAUACACUAUUGUAGGUGUAUUCAAGAUUCAUUCUUUUCUGGUGACAGUCGGUGAGAACUUGGCUGUUUUAUAGAAAUAAAUGGAAGGCACAACUGUGUUGCGCUUCACAUGCAGCAUUGUGAGCCAACAAUCCUUCACCAUGCUCAUCUUAGUUGCUGAAAGUGUAUCUUAGAAACAUGGAGCGUCUGUAGAUCUAGUUACAAGUUGGUUCACCGGAUUGGGCUUGAUCUGAGUUAAAUUCGGACUGAUCUUCAUAAAAAAAUUUGUAGACCCAGACCGGCCUUCAACCUUAGGGGGCUGGUUUCAGUCUCAUCCUUCUAAUCCUAAAUAGGAAUUUUCAUAAUUUGACCCUUUUUUUUUAUUUAAUUUAUCAUUUAGUCUUUAGGUUUUAGUCCUUGAUUUUACUUCCUGUCACACAUUUAAAUCUUUUCAUUUAUUUUGUCAUUUGUAUUUUAAAAUAAAUUUUU